AGGUGUGAUCAUACCAGCAGUAAUGCGCCAGAUCCCAUCAGAACUCCGCAGUAAAACGUGCUUGGGCAAGAGUAAUACUAGGAUAGAUGACCUCUUAAGAAGUUCUCGUGUUGCACCUU
This 119-nucleotide ribosomal RNA is filed under the name Cicer arietinum (chickpea). The record is from RNAcentral. Lineage: Eukaryota; Viridiplantae; Streptophyta; Magnoliopsida; Fabales; Fabaceae.